This 1334-nucleotide ribosomal RNA is filed under the name uncultured Alphaproteobacteria bacterium. RNAcentral's name for it is "bacterial SSU rRNA". It matches the Rfam family "Bacterial small subunit ribosomal RNA", at positions 109 to 1475 of the family's 1533-position model. The record is from RNAcentral. Lineage: Bacteria; Pseudomonadati; Pseudomonadota; Alphaproteobacteria.
AGUAACGCGUGGGAACGUGCCCUUAGGUGCGGAACAACGUCUGGAAACGGACGCUAAUACCGCAUAAUAUCUACGGAUCAAAGAUUUAUCGCCUAGGGAUCGGCCCGCGUUGGAUUAGCUAGUUGGUGAGGUAAUGGCUCACCAAGGCUACGAUCCAUAGCUGGUCUGAGAGGAUGAUCAGCCACACUGGGACUGAGACACGGCCCAGACUCCUACGGGAGGCAGCAGUAAGGAAUAUUGGACAAUGGAGGCAACUCUGAUCCAGCCAUGCCGCGUGUGUGAUGAAGGCCUUCGGGUUGUAAAGCACUUUUAGAUGUGACGAUGAUGACGGUAACAUCAGAAAAAGCUCCGGCUAACUUCGUGCCAGCAGCCGCGGUAAUACGAAGGGAGCGAGCGUUGUUCGGAAUCACUGGGCGUAAAGCGUGCGUAGGCGGUUUUGUAAGUAAGAAGUGAAAGCCUGGGGCUUAACCCCAGAAUUGCUUUUUAGACUGCAAAGCUAGAGUAUUGGAGAGGUUAGUGGAAUUCCGAGUGUAGAGGUGAAAUUUCGCAGAUAUUCGGAGGAACACCAGUGGCGAAGGCGACUAACUGGACAAUUACUGACGCUGAGGCACGAAAGCGUGGGGAUCAAACAGGAUUAGAUACCCUGGUAGUCCACGCCGUAAACGAUGUAUGCUAGCUGUCGGGAGUCUUAGGCUUUCGGCGGCGAAGUUAACGCAUUAAGCAUACCGCCUGGGGAGUACGGCCGCAAGGUUAAAACUCAAAGGAAUUGACGGGGACCCGCACAAGCGGUGGAGCAUGUUGUUUAAUUCGACGCAACGCGAAGAACCUUACCUACGCUUGACAUACCAAGUAUGAAUACCAGAGAUGGAAUUCUUCAGUUCGGCUGGCUUGGAUACAGGUGCUGCAUGGCUGUCGUCAGCUCGUGUCGUGAGAUGUUGGGUUAAGUCCCGCAACGAGCGCAACCCUUGUUGUUAGUUGCCAUCAUUCAGUUGGGCACUCUAAUGAGACUGCCGGUGAUAAGCCGGAGGAAGGUGGGGACGACGUCAAGUCAUCAUGGCCCUUACGCGUAGGGCUACAAACGUGCUACAAUGGCGGUGACAGUGGGCACCGAGGCAGCGAUGCCAAGGAAAUCCCAAAAAGCCGUCUCAGUUCGGAUUGUACUCUGCAACUCGAGUGCAUGAAGUUGGAAUCGCUAGUAAUCGUGGAUCAGCAUGCCACGGUGAAUACGUUCCCGGGUCUUGUACACACCGCCCGUCACGUCAUGGGAGUUGGUUCUACCUGAAGGCGCUGCGCUAACCGCAAGGAGGCAGGCGAGCCACGGUAGGGUCAGCGAC